AAAUGAAUAGACGGGAGCCCGCACAAGCAGUGGAGUAUGUGGUUUAAUUCGACGCAACGCGAAGAACCUUACCAAGGAUUGACAUCCACGGAACCCGGUUGUAAUGACCGGGGUGCCUUUCGGGGAGCCGUGAGACAGGUGGUGCAUGGUUGUCGUCAGCUCGUGUCGUGAGAUGUUGGGUUAAGUCCCGCAACGAGCGCAACCCUUAUGGUCAGUUGCUACGCAAGAGCACUCUGGCCAGACUGCCGUUGAUAAAACGGAGGAAGGUGGGGACGACGUCAAAUCAUCAUGCCCCUUAUAUCUUGGGCUACACACGUACUACAAUGGCGCAAACAAAGGGAAGCGAACCCGCGAGGGGGAGCCAAUCCCAUAAAAGGCGUCUCAGUUCGGACUGCAGGCUGCAACUCGCCUGCACGAAGUUGGAAUUGCUAGUAAUCGCGGAUCAGCAUGCCGCGGUGAAUACGUUCCCGGGCUUUGUACACACCGCCCGU
This 491-nucleotide ribosomal RNA is filed under the name uncultured bacterium. Its description in RNAcentral is "bacterial SSU rRNA". It matches the Rfam family "Bacterial small subunit ribosomal RNA", at positions 903 to 1397 of the family's 1533-position model. The record is from RNAcentral.